RNAcentral lists this ribosomal RNA (527 nucleotides) under uncultured bacterium. RNAcentral's name for it is "partial 16S ribosomal RNA". It matches the Rfam family "Bacterial small subunit ribosomal RNA", at positions 355 to 874 of the family's 1533-position model. The record is from RNAcentral.
UGGGGAAUUUUGGACAAUGGGCGAAAGCCUGAUCCAGCAAUGCCGCGUGUGUGAAGAAGGCCUUCGGGUUGUAAAGCACUUUUGUCCGGAAAGAAAUCCUCUGGGUUAAUACCUCGGGGGGAUGACGGUACCGGAAGAAUAAGCACCGGCUAACUACGUGCCAGCAGCCGCGGUAAUACGUAGGGUGCAAGCGUUAAUCGGAAUUACUGGGCGUAAAGCGUGCGCAGGCGGUUUUGUAAGACGGAUGUGAAAUCCCCGGGCUCAACCUGGGAACUGCAUUGGUGACUGGCAGGCUAGAGUAUGGCAGAGGGGGGUUAGAAUUCCACGUGUAGCAGUGAAAUGCGUAGAGAUGUGGAGGAAUACCGAUGGCGAAGGCAGCCCCCUGGGCCAAUACUGACGCUCAUGCACGAAAGCGUGGGGAGCAAACAGGAUUAGAUACCCUGGUAGUCCACGCCCUAAACGAUGUCAACUAGUUGUUGGGGAUUCAUUUCCUUAGUAACGUAGCUAACGCGUGAAGUUGACCGCCU